GGAACAAAUGGGGGCAGACUGAGCCACGAGCUUGAAGAGCCGGCUCUGCAUGAUUGUAUUAUCCCAAGAGACUCCGGCCCUGUUUCUCCCGCGCACAGAAGGGUUCUGUGCGCACUGAGGUUCAAAUGCAAGAAUAAUUGUGAACACAAAAGUACUAUUCCAAGGCAGAGACCACCGCCAUUCCUUGAACCUCACGGUAACUAUGUGCCAAGAGCUGCAUGAACCCGACCGAACUGAAUAGGAUGUGCAAGGACAUGAUAUAUGAGAAGACUUGAGUUCCAGUCCUGACUAUGGCACUGCCAGACACAGCUUUUAAGUUGUCUUCAGCAUUUACAUACUAUUAACCCAUACUUGGCCUCGUCUGAUCCUCAAAAAACUUGGCUUAUUGAAGAAGGUCCCUCCCUGAGGAAAUCCCCAUCAUGACAAGCACUCAGAGAAGUUGGUUGGUACAGAGUUUCUCUGCUGGUUACCCCAGGUGUGGUGUGGACCCCAGAAGGAUGACAGUUUGAAUCCAAGGGCAGUCCCCUUCCUGGCACAGCAAGCAAAAUAAAGUGAAGCCCCUGGAGGCUCAGGCUCCACAGCAAGACCACAGAGAAGACCAGCCCUCUCCCAUUGCCACAAAGACAAGAGAUAGCUUGAAAGAAGACAGCUAAAAGUGAAAUGAGCCAGGCAUGGUGGCGGGCACCUCUGUAAU
RNAcentral lists this long non-coding RNA (694 nucleotides) under Homo sapiens (human). Its description in RNAcentral is "HSALNT0291469". The record is from RNAcentral. Lineage: Eukaryota; Metazoa; Chordata; Mammalia; Primates; Hominidae.